Non-coding RNA from Helianthus annuus (common sunflower), 121 nucleotides. NCBI's taxonomy places the organism in Eukaryota, Viridiplantae, Streptophyta, Magnoliopsida, Asterales, Asteraceae. The record is from Rfam.
UUAAUUGGAUGACAUUUUAAAACAGAAAUGAUACUUGAAACAAAUUGGCUGUGGAUCGAGUGAGUUGAUGGAUCGGAUGGCCAUCCGUUCGGAUGGCCAUCCGAUCGGUGAUCAUCUACAU